UGGAAUUGGUGAUUGGCUGAUAAACGACCAUGUUACCUUUGUACAG
RNAcentral lists this microRNA precursor (46 nucleotides) under Ciona intestinalis (vase tunicate). Its description in RNAcentral is "microRNA cin-mir-4170 precursor". Lineage: Eukaryota; Metazoa; Chordata; Ascidiacea; Phlebobranchia; Cionidae. The record is from miRBase by way of RNAcentral.